Molecule: transfer RNA, 67 nt
Filed under: Marmota monax (woodchuck)
Lineage: Eukaryota; Metazoa; Chordata; Mammalia; Rodentia; Sciuridae
Description: tRNA.Val
Rfam family: tRNA (bases 7-62)
About the family: Transfer RNA (tRNA) molecules are approximately 80 nucleotides in length. Their secondary structure includes four short double-helical elements and three loops (D, anti-codon, and T loops). Further hydrogen bonds mediate the characteristic L-shaped molecular structure. tRNAs have two regions of fundamental functional importance: the anti-codon, which is responsible for specific mRNA codon recognition, and the 3' end, to which the tRNAs corresponding amino acid is attached (by aminoacyl-tRNA synthetases). tRNAs cope with the degeneracy of the genetic code in two manners: having more than one tRNA (with a specific anti-codon) for a particular amino acid; and 'wobble' base-pairing, i.e. permitting non-standard base-pairing at the 3rd anti-codon position.
Source: RNAcentral
GAUAAUGCUCAGUUGGUAGAGCGUUUGCCUCACAUGCACAAGGCCCUAGGUUCAAUCCCCAGCACCA